GGGUCAGUAGGUUGGUCGUGCCACCGGUACGUACUGGUCUCACUGAUCCCUCCUUCCUGAAGAACCGUAAUGCCAUUAAUUUGGUGUUGCGGGGAAACAGGACUGUUACUUUGAAGAAAUUAGAGUGUUUAAAGCAAGCUAACGCUUGAAUACAUUAGCAUGGAAUAAUGAAAUAGGACGAUCGAUCCUAUUUUGUUGGUUUCUAGGAUUGACGUA
RNAcentral lists this ribosomal RNA (216 nucleotides) under Glomeromycotina sp. RNAcentral describes it as "partial small subunit ribosomal RNA". The stretch from base 75 to 216 matches the Rfam family "Eukaryotic small subunit ribosomal RNA", at positions 721 to 864 of the family's 1831-position model. Lineage: Eukaryota; Fungi; Glomeromycota. The record is from RNAcentral.